AUGUGCUGCCUUAACCAGAUCAGUAAAGCCUACUCUACUCUACUCUACUCUACUCUACUCUACUCUACUCUACUCUAUUCUACUCUAUUCUACUCUACUCUAUUCUACUCACUCUACUCUAUUCUACUCUACUCUACUCUACUCUACUCUACUCACUCUACUCUAUUCUAUUCUACUGUAUUCUAUUCUACUCUACUCUACUCUACUCACUCUAUUCUACUCACUCUACUCUAUUCUACUCUACUCUACUCACUCUAUUCUAUUCUAUUCUACUGUACUCUGUUCUAUUCUAUUCUACUUUACUCUACUCUACUCACUCUAUUCUACUCACUCUACUCUAUUCUACUCUACUCUACUCUACUCUACUCACUCUACUCUAUUCUAUUCUAUUCUAUUCUACUCUACUCUACUCUACUCACUCUACUCUAUUCUGCUCUACUCACUCUACUAUAUUCUACUCACUCUACUCUAUUCUAUUCUACUCUACUCUACUCUACUCUACUCUACUCUACUCUACUCACUCUAUUCUACUCACUCUACUCUAUUAUACACUACUCUACUCACUCUAAUCUAUUCUACUCACUCUAUUCUACUCUACUCUACUCUACUCACUCUAUUCUACUCUACUCCACUCACUCUACUCUAUUCUACUCUUCUCUACUCACUCUACUCUACUCACUCUACUCUAUUCUACUCUACUCACUCUACUCUACUCUAUUCUAUUCUAUUCUACUCUACUCUACUCUACUCUACUCUACUCUACUCUACUCUACUCACUCUACUCUAUUCUACACUACUCUACUCACUCUACUCUAUUCUACUCACUCUACUCUACUCUACUCACUCUACUCUACUCUUCUCACUCUACUCUAUUCUACUCUACUCUAUUCUACUCUACUCACUCUACUCUACUCACUCUAUUAUAUUCUAUUCUAUUCUACUUUACUCUACUCUCUCUACUCAACUCUACUCUACUCACUCUAUUCUACUCUAUUCUGCUCUACUCUACUCUACUCUACUCUAUUCUAUUCUACUUUACUCUACUCUACUCUAUUCAACUCAACUCUACUCCACUCUACUCUACUCUACUCUCUUCUACUCUCCUCUACUCAACUCUAUUCUAUUCUACUCCACUUUAUUCUAUUCUACUUAACUCUACUCUACUUUGGUCUACUCUAUUCUACUCUCUUCUAUUAUACUCUACUCUAUUCUAUUCUACUUUACUCUACUCUAUUCAACUCUACUCUACUCUAUAAAAGAAACUCAUUUUUUUAG
RNAcentral lists this long non-coding RNA (1275 nucleotides) under Nothobranchius furzeri (turquoise killifish). RNAcentral's name for it is "lncRNA (ENSNFUG00015005602.1)". Lineage: Eukaryota; Metazoa; Chordata; Actinopteri; Cyprinodontiformes; Nothobranchiidae. The record is from RNAcentral.